Small nucleolar RNA from Abrus precatorius (Indian licorice), 107 nucleotides. NCBI's taxonomy places the organism in Eukaryota, Viridiplantae, Streptophyta, Magnoliopsida, Fabales, Fabaceae. The record is from RefSeq and is a predicted model, not a curated record.
AUCCCAUAAUGUGGGCACUUCCUUAACAAUUCCUUAAACCUCUCUCACGUAUCAUAUAAAUUCUCUAACUCCAAUUGGUAGAAGGAAGAGAUAUCACUCCUCAUCUU